GAUGAACGCUGGCGGCGUGCUUAACACAUGCAAGUCGAACGGUAGAUGAUUCUUCGGAGUCAUUGAGAGUGGCGCACGGGUGCGUAACACGUAGCUCAUCUGCCCCUAAGACGAGGAUAACGUUCGGAAACGAGCGCUAAUACUCGAUAAGCUCCCGAUCUGUAGAGGAAUGGGAGAAAAGCUGAGGCGCUUAGGGAUGAGGCUGCGGUCCAUCAGCUAGUUGGUGAGGUAAAGGCUCACCAAGGCGACGACGGAUAGGGGACCUGAGAGGGUGGACCCCCACACUGGCACUGAGACACGGGCCAG
RNAcentral lists this ribosomal RNA (306 nucleotides) under uncultured bacterium. RNAcentral describes it as "bacterial SSU rRNA". It matches the Rfam family "Bacterial small subunit ribosomal RNA", at positions 28 to 334 of the family's 1533-position model. The record is from RNAcentral.